GCCGCACCUUUUCUAUCCCUUCUCUCUUCUCUCAUUCUAAGGUCAACCACCGGCGAAUACCACGCUCCGGUGAGCCGCGUCGCCGGCAAGACUGCCGCCCCUCCUUUCUUCCUCUCUCCUUUCCCUCCCUAGCGCCACCAGCCGCCGCUGCACAACAGCCAUGCAGUCGACGAGCAAACUAGUGCCGCCGCCACCGCCUCUCAUCAUCUCUUCUAUCCGCUACCAGCACCGAAAGCCAGCCCAACGAUCAGCCGGCAAGAAAUGUAUCCAGUCGUUUUUAAUGGUUCUUGGAACGCUACCAAGGUUUCAAGAAAUAAAUGAGGCGUACCAAGAUGCAAAAAUGGAGAAAAUACAACAUUGUUGGCGUUUGAAGAGGUGCUAAAAGCUAUGGAAAUGACAUCGUUGGUGCCUUUGCCUGGGAGGAUAUUUGAUCUAUUUGACAAUAACUGUGUUGGAACGGUGGACAUGAGAGAGAUAAUAGGUGGCUUCUCUAGACUCAAGUAUUCACUCUUCAUCUUUUCUUUCAGGUGGGCGUGCGUAUCUCAUGUGAAUCGACAUAAACUUUUAAAAAUAAGAUGUUAUUAUGGUGCAAAAUGCAA
Capsicum annuum is the source of this 599-nucleotide long non-coding RNA. RefSeq lists it as uncharacterized. The record is from RefSeq and is a predicted model, not a curated record. The transcript has 2 exons. NCBI's taxonomy places the organism in Eukaryota, Viridiplantae, Streptophyta, Magnoliopsida, Solanales, Solanaceae.